Long non-coding RNA from Xiphias gladius (swordfish), 703 nucleotides. RefSeq lists it as uncharacterized. The transcript has 4 exons. The record is from RefSeq and is a predicted model, not a curated record. Lineage: Eukaryota; Metazoa; Chordata; Actinopteri; Istiophoriformes; Xiphiidae.
GAAGGAGCUCCUGUAACCGGAGCGGCCACUGGGCGGCGCCGCAGCCCGCAACUUCCGCGGCCGGACAGCCGGCGUUUCCUCCCUGCUACACGCUGCAGGCCAAUCCGCUCACUCGCUCCGUGUUGGGUUACAGUGACAAGGGGGCCCUGUCUGAACCACGACUUUUAGAAAGAUAAUAUUACAGACUCACAGCUGAUCUAUCCCCCAGUACACAAUUGAGACAGAGGAGGUUAAAGCACUCUGAACGCAUCGGACCAUAUUGCAGCGCCUCCCAGCACUCCUCCAUGUUCUCCUCCAUCUGCCUCCUGUCCAUUGAUCAGCUUUCCAGGGCAUCAGUCUGUUUAACAUCUGCUACAAGUUCCAACAGCUCAGAUGCGCAGGGGCUGUAAUGAAGAGCUCUUGAACUCCCAGUCAGAGAAGCUGUGACAGGAGUUCAGGAGGAUGCCUCUUUGCCUCUGCUGGACGUACCACACACACACACACACACACACACACACACACACACACACACACACAGACACUGAGGUUCACAUGCAUCCAGAGACAACAACAAACAGCUAAUACAGAAAUCAAAAUGAAGCUGUCACUCAUACAUUGUUUCACAAAUCACUAGCUUUUCAUUUAAAGUGUCCAAUGUCCAAUCUUACAACUGAUAAAGGAAAAAUAUCAACAAUCUACCCUGCGCUUCUGUUUUUUAUUUUCU